CUGGGGCUGCUGCCCCGAGGCGCGUGGGACGGGCGGGGCAGUCUGUGGUUCCUGCAGUGCUUGUGGCUGGGUCUGUUCGCUGGACGCCGGCCAGGGAUGCUUCCGCCGGACCGCUGUACGGGUCUUGGGUUGUGGCGGAGGGAUGGCGAAUGUGCAGGUGGCCGUGAGGGUCAGGCCUCUCAGCAAGCGGGAGACCAAAGAAGGGGGAAGAAUUAUCGUGGAAGUUGAUGACAAAGUGGCAAAAGUCAGGAAUGUAAAGGUGAACAGUCGACUGGAGAGCUUUGGAGACACCCGGGAGAAGGUUGUGGCAUUUGGCUUUGAUUACUGCUAUUGGUCAGUCAACCCAGAGGACCCUCACUAUGCAUCUCAGGAAGUGGUAUUCCGGGACUUGGGGACUGAGGUACUGUCUGGAGCUUCCAAAGGCUACAACAUAUGUCUCUUUGCCUAUGGGCAGACAGGCUCUGGGAAGACAUACACCAUGCUGGGGACUCCAGCCUCUGUUGGGCUGACUCCGAGGAUCUGUGAGGGUCUCUUCAUCAGGGAGGAUGACUGUGCCUCGAUGCCUUACUCCCGUAGUAUAAAAGUAAGCUUCCUAGAGAUCUACAAUGAACGGGUGAGAGAUCUUUUGAAGCAAUCCAAUCAAAAUAAGUCCUACACCUUAAGGGUCAGGGAGCACCCAGAGAUGGGACCCUACGUCCAAGGUCUGUCUCAGCAUGCUGUCACCAGCUAUCAGCAGGUUCUCCAGCUUCUGGAGGAGGGGAUAGCAAACAGGAUCACAGCAGCCACCCACGUUCACGAGGCCAGCAGUAGAUCCCACGCUAUCUUCACUAUCCACUGCACACAGGCAACCCUACAGAACAACCUCCCCUCUGAGACUGCCAGCAAGAUCAAUCUUGUGGACCUAGCAGGCAGUGAGAGAGCUGAUCCCAGUUACUGUAAGGACCGGAUUACUGAAGGCGCCAAUAUCAACAAGUCCCUUGUGACUCUGGGAAUUGUAAUCUCCACUUUAGCCCAGAACUCGCAAGUGUUCAGCAGCUGCCAGAGCCUCAGUAGUGCAGCCAGCAGUGGGGGUGACAGUGGGAUCCCUAGCACCACUUCUGGGACCAGCAGCGGAGGGGGACCUGCAAGGAGACAGUCUUACAUCCCAUAUCGGGACUCUGUGCUGACCUGGUUGCUGAAGGAGAGCCUUGGAGGCAACUCCAAAACCAUCAUGGUUGCCACUGUGUCUCCUGCACAUACCAGCUACAGUGAGACCAUGAGUACAAUGAGAUAUGCAUCCAAUGCCAAAAACAUCAUCAACAAGCCACAGGUGAACGAGGAUGCGAAUGUGAAGCUCAUCCGAGAGCUCAGGGAAGAGAUUGAGAGGUUGAAAGCCAUGCUGCUGAACUUUGAACUGAGGAACUUCAGCUCACUAAAUGAUGAUCUGGAUGAGAGCCUGCAAGAGCUAGUCUUCCAGAAUGAUUUGAAGAUAGACACGCUGACUCAACACUGGACUCAGAAGCCAAAUAACCGGCAGGCACUCAUGGAGCAUUACGGUGUGGGCAUCAACAGGAAUAGAGCCAGGGUGGUCAUCGACUCCAGCCUGCCACACCUGAUGGCUUUGGAGGAUGAUGUGCUCAGCACAGGCAUUGUGCUUUAUCACCUCAAGGAGGGCACAACAAGAAUAGGAAGGAUUGAUUCAGACCAGGAGCAGGAUAUCGUCCUUCAGGGCCAGUGGAUUGAGAGAGACCACUGCACAAUCACUAGCACUUGUGGGGUGGUCAUUCUCCGGCCUUCCCAAGGUGCACGCUGUACAGUCAAUGGUCGUGAGGUCACUGCUUCCUGCCGUCUGACACAAGGAGCUGUCAUAACACUGGGGAAAGCACAGAAGUUCCGAUUUAACCACCCAGCGGAGGCUGCUGCGCUGCGGCAAGAAAGGCUCAAGGUUGGAGAGGUUCUUGGCAGCAGUGGCUCUUUGGAAUGGCUGGAUUUGGAUGGAGAUGUCAGUGCCUCAAGACUGGGUCUCUGUCCUGUGCUCAGGAAGGAGAGGAGAGUGCUGGAAGAGCAGAGUGACAAGGACCAGCAGCCAUUAAGAAAUGGCAAGAUUUCCUACAGAGCCCAGACUGAGCAGCAGCAGUGCCAUGUGGAGGCUCUGAAGCAGCAAGCCAAAGAAGGACAGAGUAGAGUCCAGAAGGAGCUAAAACUGGACCAGACACAUAUCAACCGAAAGAUAACAGACAACCAGCAGUGGCUACUCAGAGAAGAGACCUGGCUAUCCAACUUACGAGAGACACAGCAAGAAGGUGACUGUGGAGAAGAGAAAGAGCUUGAGGCCUUUGUGGCACCUGAUGCUUGGCUCCCAACAGUUCCUCAGACUCCACCAUCUCCACUGGUCCAAAGCCAGAAGAGGGUGGUACAGCCCCGGUGCUUGCGGAAACAUACUUCUCGGGCUACAGUGUGGAACAUUAGGCAGAAAAAGGUAUCGUUCCAGCUGGAGAGAAUUAUUAAGAAGCGGAGGCUGCUGGAAGCCCAGAGGAGACUGGAGCAGCUCAAUGCACUCUUCUGGAUCCAGGAUAAUGGCACCUCCAAGGCCCCAAGUUGGGCCUCUAGCUCUAACACCACAGGCUCAGGUUCUCAGCGUAGAAGCAGAUGGACAACUUGCAGCUCUCUGAGUCUCCAGAGGCUCUGCAGUCAACGCCUGUCCCAGCUACGCAGUGCUGUCAUGAACUGGGAUCCUUCAGCCAUGUCACCACCUGUGCCUGAUCUGACUCAGCAAAUGCCAGAGAAAACCCUGUCAACAGAUACUGUUCCCCAGGCUACAGCCUGUCCUCCAAGGACAGGAUGCCUGGGCAGGAACAGCCUCCAUUCAUCACGGUGGAGGAAGUUCUCGCCAGCCAGGGGAGCUUCUGUCAGUAGCCAAAAAAUUGAGUCAUUUGGUAAGCAGUCCUGUCAGAUGUCAUCCCAGGGUCAAUCAACUAAGAAACAAAAACCAACAGAUGGUUCAAGGAUCUUCACCCCUGCUGCCCAGACCAAGGCUAAGGGACUAGUAGCCUCUGUCAACACACAAACUGUAUGGCAAAAAGAAGAGAGCUGUGCAACCUACAAGGCUCCUAAGGAAACUACCUCCCAUCCUACGUAUCUCAGUGGAUCGGAGCAAGUAGCUGGGCAUAGAAAAGUAGUCAAGACUUCUCUGGCAGAAUCCAAACCACCUCCUCCAAGCAGGGCAUCAAAAAAGCAUCAGAGGGUGCUGGCAGCUAGGGCCAGAGACAUUGCCAAAAAGUUCUCUCGUUUGUCUUGUGGCUGUCCUUUAAAAAAACAGCCUAGUGCAGAGGAUCCAACCUCCUUCACAGAUUCUAGACCUAUAAUGGACCAUGUAAGGGAAGAGGACAAAGAUUUAUCUGACACUGAAAGCAGUUACUCAGUGGAUUCUCUUUCUUACAUCUAUGCCAAAGUCCCAAAGGAGCUGCUGAAACCAGAGGAACUUCAGGGAAAAUGGGAUCUCCCAGAUCCAGACAACUCUGAAAGUGGUAACAGUCAAAUAUCUGAGGAUUCACUUGCUGGGAAAGGGCACCAAAGUCUCCCAGAAAACUCUGCAGGUGAAUAUUCCAUGAAGGACUAUGGGCAUUCAAGAGCCAGACCUUCAGCCUCUGUGAGGGGUCUCCCCAUGUACUCAGACAGUAGCUUAUGUACUCAUACAGACAGGAGCUUUUCCUUGCACAGCCUAAUUGGUCCUGAAAAUAGGCAAGGGGAGCCUUUCCUUGGCUCUGCUGAUGAGAUGCCUACAGAGACUUUCUGGCAUCUGCAGAAGGCCACCCUAUCUGCAAUAGACAAUAGACAGGGGGCAACAGACAGGCCUAGCCCUAUCAACCACAGAGUGGGAGUCAGGGUCAAUAAUAUUCUGCCAAAAAGCAAUUCAUUUUACCAUGAUCUUCAGUACCAGCCCCGUUGUGAGCAGCUUGAGUCAGAAAUGGAGACCAGCUAUUCCGAACAAAUCAACCCUCUCCGAGGUAUUCAACUUGCAAGAGAGAGCCCCCUGUUAUCUGUGGAUUCCUGGUUUUCUUGCGACUCUAAGGUCAAUCCCAGCAGCCCCUCAGGGGUCAUACAUUCUCUAUGUCCAAGUCCUGACAUACAUGAAACUCAGCCCUAUAGUGAGAAGCCCCAACACUGGCUAAGCAGUGAAGAACCAAAUACCUGCAAACUUCCCCAAACUAGUACUGAGCCACCCUGCAGUUCAGAUUUGUAUGCAACUUCUGCUUCUGAUACAUCCAAGCCCUCAGUUUGUGGAAGCCAAAGACUCCUUCAGCCAGGAGUUGAUGGAUUCUUUCAGGGCAGAGAAAUGCCUGACAUGACCAACCAGGGCAUCUCUGAAGAGUCCCACAAUUCUGACAUGUCGAGUGUGCUGGCUACCUCUGCCACCUCGUUCACUCAUGUACGUAGUAUUAAUAAGAAGGACUGGGCUGCCCUUCAUCAAGAAUAUCUCCUUGAACUCUCUGAUUCUAUUUUUGAAGCUAUAGGAGAGCCCAGGCCAGCUUUCCCCUUCCUGGAGGAAGAGUCUAGCUCCCUGGCUGAUGCUUCUGAUAAAGUAGACUCUCCGUUGCCCACUGGCCCUGGGUUAUCUAGAAAUUUAGAUUUCUGCUCCUUUCCAGCCCACCUAUCCCAAAUCAGGCACUUAAAUGCAGAGAAAGACCAUGACAGUCUGAGUGCCAACGUAGAAAGUGCUUCUGAUCUCUUCAGUACUGUUGAGAGGAUGAGCUGUAAUGAGGCGUACCCCACAGACAUAGAGUCUCUGACUUCUGGAUCUAUAAAUGCACAGGCCUGCACAGCAGGAAAUGCGAUACCAAGUUCCAUGACAGAAGCAUGGGAAGUCAAUCAGGCCAGCUUGGAAGGGUGCCUUCAGGGUGGCAGACAUUCUGCACUGAAAACUUCCUCUGGGCAGUAUUUCUUCCAGAAGAGGACUUAUCACAAUCAUGACACCUCAGCCUCUGAAGUAGAUUAUUUACCUCAAGAUGAGACUCUUCUCAGGAAAAAUACUCCAGUUCAACCAGGACUAUUAAGUCACAACAGCCACCAGCACCCCCUGCUGGAAGAGAAGGCGGCUUCCCAGGAGUGCUCCGAGGAAGUAGCUGGAACACACAUAGAUGCCUGUUGCACUUUCCCUUCAGGUCCAGAGCUGGUCCUGCACUCUGACCCUUGGAGCUCUUUUCCAUCCUUCCUGCAGUCGCCUUCCCUGGAAACAUUCUAUGUAACCAAAAGCAGGGAUGCCCUGACAGAAACUGCCUUAGAGAUUCCAGCCUGCAGGGAAGCCUGGGUGCCCUCCCCACCCCCUAGAGAAGCCUGGGGCUUUGGUCAUAGUCAUCAAGUCCCCCAGAAAGCUCACAAGAAAAAUAAUUUGCCCAAGUUGUCCCAAAGUCAGAAUUCUAAGAUUGAUUCACCUCAUCAGACAAUAACCAAAAGGCCAACAGAUACGAAUAUAGGGGAAGUUACUGGAGAACUGGGGAAACGGCCCAGAAAUAUGAAAAAAGAAGAACCCCAUGAUUCUGCUUACUGUUUCGUUGCUCAGAACAGACAGCAUCUCCCUUCUACCAGACUCAAAGCUUGUGAAUGUAGAAAUCAACUUGGAAUUUUAAAUAAGUACAGCCUCUCAGUCCAUGAGGAUGGAGAAGGGGCCUCUGCAUGGCAUCACUGCAGUGUUGCCUUCAAUGGCUCUGAGUCAAAGACUUUGCUCUUCAUUUGUGAUUCUAAGGCAAGUGGGGAAGAACAGAGUCCACUCCUGCCAGAGACGCAGUCCUCUGGUACGCACAGUCAGUCUCCUCCUGGAGACAGGUCUGAUUUCAUUGGUAAAAUCACCAAUUUAGACCUGGAGAAGGUCAUGCCAGAGGAAACUGCUGUUUCCUUGAAAUCAAGAUCACUCCAUUGUCGAAGUAGCCCUGCGAUCAUGGCAGGAGGUAGGAGUCCCACCCACAGGUGGGAGGGGAGGAAUGAAACUGUGCUUCUCAGAGAAGUGAUUUCCAAAGACAUCCGAGAAGAAUUUAGUCUUCCAGGAACCCAGUAUACCUGUGAAAGAUGCCAUCUAGUUAUGUGCUCUCAGGAAAGAAAGCCCACUGAAUGCAAGGCCCAUGGGCAGUCACAAGAAAUACAGUGCAAAGAAAAACCUUUGGGAGAGAAACAGAAUAAAAGAGUUAAUAGUACUGAUGAAAUGGCUAGGCUGAUCAGGAGUGUAAUACAGCUGGAAACUGGCAUCUUAGAAAUCGAAUCCAAGCAGAAUAAGCAACUUCAUGCUUCCCACACGCCAAGUACAGAACUUAUGCUCCAGGACUUACAGGACCAGAAGAAGACUGACCAGGUCCCCGAGCCAGAAAGUUCUGGAAAACAUUUAUGCUUUGAGGGUUAUCCAUCUUUUCCAAUACAGAUAGAAGAUGGUAUCUUUGAAGACAACAAAGCUAGAGAAAUAGAGGGUAACAGUGCAAUUAGUAAUAAUGCUCAGGUCCAGAAGAUCACAGGAAGCCCCUUCAGAUCAAGGGACUGUAAGCAAACAAGGGGGUCUGAGAGAGAGCACACAUACCCACCACCUGGAGCACACAGACUUGCCAGGGAUAUCUGUGGUUCUUUAGGGAAGGGCGAAGCUCUCAGAAAGCCUAGCAACAUGUCCCUUCACUCUAGGAGAAUGAAAGCAUUAGCUAGAUCUCUGCUAUUGCAGCGCAGCCCGGAGAGAGCUGAGAAGGAUGAUGAGCUCCUAAAAGCAUCAGCAAAGUUCCAAGAGCAGACUUGGGCCUUGGAAAGUCUUGAGGAACUGGAGAGUGUGGAAAGUUUUCAGGAAAGCCAAAUUAUUGCAGUCCCAAGUGAUUCAGAAUUGGAGGAUGUAAAAACUCCAGGGAGAGUUGAAGAAAUGACAGUGGACAGGGGAGGGAACCUGAAGGAAAAAGAGAAUGUGGAAAUUUCUACUCCCAGCCAGCACUGGAAGGGCACAGUUUUCAGGCAGGAGAAUGUCUCCCCAUUCCAUAACCAGAGAGACUUCUCUGCAGCUCUUCCUUAUGGAGAGCUGAGUGGUAUCCAACCCGUGCAUUCUCCAAGCUUCCCAAGAAGCUGUUGUCAUGUCUCUGAUACCAAAGGUGUCUCUUCAUUUGAGAACAUAUUAGAACCUACAAUGUUGAAAACAAAUAGAAAUUCUUUGGCAACUGGAGUAGGGGAUCAGGAUCACAGUGGGGAGACCGGAAGCAGUAGCUUGCAGGGAAGUGUUUCUGGGGAUGCUUCCACCACACACACUCCCUGGGGUGGAUCUGUAAUGCCCAUGCUCAUGAGAGCUAAUGGCCAGUCUGUUACAUCAGACAGUAUACAGCUAGAGACAGAGGACUGGAUAACAGUAAGCACCAGCUCCCAAGAAGACCAGGAAGGGGACUUCAGAGUUACUUCCACAGGCUUGACUACUCAGGAAGGUUUGGGUUCUGAAGCUGAGGCAACUGAACAAGAAGAAACAAAAACCAGUUCUUUGGAUACUGUCUUAAGGCAGACUGAAAGGAGGGUCAGUUUCCUUUUACAAGAAGAUAGUGACCAGGGUGAAGAGGAAAGGCAGAAGGCAGAGGAGAAGUCAGAAGACCAACAACUUCCUAACUCUGCUUGCUUACCACCAGUGUCUGUACUGAAAGGACCUGAUCCAGAGCCUCUGCUACUACCAGACUCCUCUGUCCAUGCAUCCAUAUGCCUGUCUAUCUUGGAAGAGAUCAGACAGGCAAAAGCACAGAGAAAGCAGCUUAAUGACUUUGUGGCUGAGGGGACAGUCCUUCCUUAUGAGACGUCACAAGAAGCUGAGUGUUUUUCAGAGGCUGCUGGUAGGUCUCAGACACAGACAGUUACGUUAGGGUGGGAUAGCACCAGGAACGAUGCUAAGACACAAGGACUGCAUGUGGCAUCUCCACCUCCUGUGUUUGCAAACCUCUUGGCUGAUGAGAGGAGAGCCCAGGCCAGUGCAGGGAGCCUUCAACAUGUGCUCAAUCCUGAAACUGAUAGAGGGCCACAGCAUCAUUUGUUGGCUUCUUCUCACAUUAUUUCAGGGCUAGCAGAAAGAUACUGCACUGGAGAAGCAAGGCAAUUUUGUGGAGCAAGAGGAUGGUCUGAUUUUUCUGAAGUCAUCGAGAAAAAAGAAACAUCUAGAACAAUGUCCUCUGUUGGUCCUUUGGACUCAGACAGGCUUCUUUCUAUACUAGCUGUAGAGCAGAAUGAGAGGGUAGGAUCAGAGAAAGUGUCUGUCUUACCUUCUCAAACUUCUUGUGAUGGUCCUGGGAGGAUUCUGCAUGGGCAAAGUCAGUUGGCUGCAUGGGAGACUGCAGAGGAUAUAUCCUUUGGUGGGAAGGACACUGUCCUGGGUCAUCAGAAACCUAGUCUAGAUAGCACAUGUGGAGGAGACUCAGGUAAGAUCUCAGUGACCACACAGAAAGGAAAAGCAGUCCAUUCUGAGCGUCAGUCUGUGAUCCGUACUGUUGAUAAUACUGUAUACCUUUCUCAGCCUAAGCAAGACCAUGUGCAGUGCUCCGAUGCUUCUGCUGGCUUAGAAGGAAUGGAGGCAAGUCCAAAGUCAUGUGCUCUUCAGCCUGGAGCUCCAAGAAAGGUUGAAGCAGAAGCUAACAUAUGGCAUCCUGUCAAGUGGAAGAAUGUUGACUCUGGUCUGGCAGAAGCAUGUGGGAGUGACAGCAAAAAUCUAAGGUCAACUCCAUUUAUAGAUAAAAGACCAAGCCUGCAUCCCAGUGGAGUUAGAGAAGAGGCUCCAGGUCUGUGCCCAGAAGAGUGCCUUGUCUUCAAGGGGAACACUGGAGGCAGCAGGCCACUUGGCUUAUCUUAUGGGGAGGAAGAGAAUUGCCCUCACCUAAGUGGUUCUCAGCCUGCUGCUGCUGUUCACGACUGCCGCUCUCAUUCCUCUACUCUGCCAUGUUAUAGAGAUGGUGUCCUUAGGAAGGGAACCCUCUGGGCUGCUCCACAUCCUGACCACUCACUUUUUAUAGUACCAUCUAGGGUCUGUGAAGUGGAUGGAGCAGGAGAGAGCUUUUCCAAAGACUCUCAAGUGUCUUUAGCACAUGGCCUCAAACAUAAAUGUGGGCCAGUAGACAACAGCAUUCCCAACCCAUCCACUAUAGCUCUUGUCUCCUCUCCAGCUCAAAACUGCAGCUGCCUUUGCACCUCAGAAAUGAAGGCAAAUUGCCUCACCCACACUGUUGCUAGGGGAAGAUCAGUGGACGGUUCUGGGGAAAAGACAACAGGGAAGAAGGCCAGCACUGCCCCUGAGGAUUCUUAUCCAUCCAGCCCUGCAGGAAUGAGCUCUGAGCCACGAAGAACUCUGAAGAAUAACUCUGUAAGUGAGAAUGUACAGGCAUCACAAACAACACCAGAACAUCCUGCAGUGACUCAGAGACCAUAUUCAAAUGAAGAAUCUGUUGACAGUAAGCUGGAGAUAGCAGCUCAGUUUGGGCAUUUAGAAAAUACCAUCAGAUGCUGUUCAAAAAAGAUGCCACCUUCCACUAAGGUCAGGGGUCACAGUUGCUUGGAUUCUCAAGCCAAAUUUGUAGACAUGUUGAAACAUACCUGCCACCCUCAGAUUGAAACUUCAUGGGAAGAGGAAGAACAACAGAGAGACCAGGUCUCAGGAGAUGGCAAAGUCCAUGCCCAGGUCAGAAAUCUAGUAUCUUCUAACAUUGGUAGCUUUGAUGGCUGUCAGACUAGAGAUGGUGAAAGAAAGGAGAUAGUUGUAGCCAAGUCUUCUGCAUCCCAGACUUUCUUUUCAGACUUUGAAGCCCAAACUGAACCAUCACAGCCUGCUGCCCAGACUCCUAGCCAGCUCUGCUCUGAUAGGGAGCAGCUGCCUCCCAGCCACAGGCACUUGCUUCCUGUGAUUGCAAUCUUCUCUGGCCCCAAGCGUGCCAGGUACUCCCCUAGACCUCAGUUUACUGUGGUCAGCUCAUCUCGGUCUCUUCAAGAACUAAAUUUGAGUGUGAAACCUCCUUCGCCAACAGAUGAAGAUGCACAGGGGCCAAAUUGCUUGUGGAGCCCACAUCUCAGGGGUCAUUCCUCCCAAAAGCCAGUAUCAACAUCUCAGAAGUCUCAAGAUUACAGUCAGAAAGCCUCGUGUAACUUGAGCAAUAGCCACACUGAUCACAGGCCCUUGAACCCUGUCAUUCCUCCUUACCCAACGUCUUCCACUGUGUCAUGUAUGCCAACCCCUGAGUUCAUGACUACCUGGAUGCCUGGGACUUUGGAACAGGCCCAUCCAGGAAAGACAGAUAAACUGAGUGUCCAGGGUAUGCCAGAGAAUUGGCAUUCUCAGGUGGACAAAGAAAUGCUGCACUUUGAUUCUAGUAACUUAAGUCCCUAUGUCCUGCCCUGGUGUCCACAGGGACCUGUGCAUAUUGGUUGGAAGCAAUAUGUGUUUGGAAGUGCAGUUGAUGCCUCUGGUAGCCAGAAAUCUCAGUGCCUAAUACAAUCAAAAAUGGCUCAGUGUUCUAGCAUGGACAAUGUCCUAGAAGACAAGAAAUCUCCAUUUCACUUCCAUCCCAAGACUGAUGCCCAAACCCAGGAUUUGCCAAACAUACACAGUGGCAUUGGGAAUGACCAGAGUUCAAAUGAGCUGCCUCUGGCUGGAGGGAGUACCACAGCUCAGGUAGAUGAGAUUAUAUUACUCUGCCCACCAGAGACAGGCUGUGCUGGGGGGGAGGCCAGUAUGAAUACCUUCGAGCAGGGAACACGGACCCUGGGCAGCAGGCUUCACUCAAAUUGCACUGAUGUCUCUGUUCAGCCUGAUGCCAGGACAAUGUCAGACUCUGAUCUAGCCUCCUGGACCAGGAUGCACAACCUGUCUCUCCACCUUUCACAGCUUCUACAUAGUACUUCAGAACUGCUUGGGAGUCUCUCACAGCCAAGUGUGAUAGUAAAGGAACAGAAUGGCAACAGUGAAUCCCUAGAUGAGGCCCAACAGGCCCUUAUGAUGGAUGGUUCUACUCAGACCACUGUGGAUGAGGGGAUCCAGACAGACCUGGCCUUACCUCCUCUGGCCUUCCAGGCGCCAGAGGUCAAGUCAGAGGAAGUCAGUGUGAUCCUUCACGUGAUGGACUCAGGUAUUACCACUGUGGCUCAAGAAAAGGGAGAUGUCCCAGUGGUGUUUCAGAAGAAAGAGGCAGAGGAAGCAGCAGAACCCCCAGAUCUCCACAAAGGAAGUACCCACGUUAAACUGCAGAGCCCUCCUGUGACCUCACCACACUUGAGGUUUCAGAAAGCUGAUUUUGGGCAGAACUUUACUUUCAUGAACCCCCCAGCUUCUCCUGAUGGUUCUCCACUUCCCAGUCUGCAGCCAGAGGAAUCUUGCAUGGUGGUCAACAUGUCCAGAAUCUCACACCACUCAAGGCUCACCCUUGGUGCUUCUGAGUUCACCCAAGAGCCUAGCACCCAGAAUAGAUUGGGCAGCUCGAGUGCUGUGCUGGUGGAUAGGGCGUCCUCUCCAAUCCUUACAUUUAGUGCCAGCAUCCAGGAGCUGAGCAACCCCUUAGCCUGUUUGACUCUAUCAGUUCCCUCGGCUCAUCCUCUUGAAGACUUCCAGAAGCUUGACAUCAAUCCAGACCCUGAAGUUGGUGACCUAAGACCUCCAAUGGGUAAUUCUCAAGCCACUGAUAAGGCUGGCGUGUCUCGGAGAGCUGAGUCUGUGGACAGAGAAGUCAAGAGCCCCUUAGGGAAAAGUUCUGAGAGAUUGUUUCUUUAUUCUAGCUCCCCUUGCAGCCCACAACAGAGCUCUAGUCCCCAAGUUAGUUUCUCAGGAAAGGCCCCUCAGCAGCUUCAGCUCAAGAGCACCACUGGAGACCAAAGCAAAUCACCAUCUUCACCACCAAGGCACAGGAUCCUUGAUGAUAGCGUUGUGUCUGAGAGGGUGGCUUCCACAGAGCAUGGUCCACCAAGCAGUGGGAGGCCCAGUCAGUGCCAGGGCAGGGCAGCAAAUGAGGAUGGGAAGUCAGUGUUUAUGGUAGAGUCACAACCCAACGUGGACCGACCUUCAUCACGGAGAGGUCUUCAGCCCCUUAGCCCUUGUCAGAUCUCUGCUACUACAGGGCUUCAAAGUCCUGCUGUAGAUCCACCUCAGGUCUGCCAACCUGUGGGGCUGCUCUGUCCUGGUUCACAAAUGUAUGUGGCCUCUGGUCCCCAGCAUCACAACCUCAGGGACCUCUCAGUUCAUAACAAAUUUAAUAACUGGUAUGGAGUUCAGGAUGGACCUUGCAAAAGUCUGCAUGUAGGUGACAGUUUAGGGGUCAGAUGUGACUUGAGUUCUGUAGGGACACAAAGGCCCCUGCAACCUUCUGACAAAUACAGCCAGGAACCCGAGUACCUUCGAUUGGAACACAUCCCCUUACAAGCUGGGGUUCAGAAGCCUUCACUCAGUGUGGAACUCACAGAAGCAAAACUACACCAUGGCUUUGGGGAGACAGAUGCUCUGCUGAAGGUGCUGCAGAGUGGGACAGGGGAGGUGUUUGCUCCUGAAGAACCUGCUAUGCUCUCCUGUGAGGAGUUCUACACUAGGCAGAAAAAGACUUUUGAGACCCUCAGGAGAGAAAGGACUGAGCGACUUCAUAACUUUCGUCGGACACGAAGCCUCAGUCCCCAGAAACGACUCCGCUUCCUGCCCAGCAAGGACCUCCCCACCGGGGAACUUGACUUGCCCAGCAGACGCCAAGAGUACCUGCAGCGCCUGAGGAAGCAUGUUGUGGAAACCACUAGAAUCCCAGAACCAGCACCAAGAUUAGCCCGCCCUCCCUCUGACAUUGAGCUCAUGCUUCAAGAGUAUCGUCAGGCCCGUGAAGAGGCCAAGGCAGAGAUUGCACAGGCUCGAGAUCGGCUCAAGGAGCGGAGUGAACAAGAGAAAAAGAGAAUCCGCCAGCAGAUCAUCUCCCAGCUGCUGAAGGAAGAGGAGAAACUACAGAUUCUAGCCAACUCCAGCUCCCUGUACACCAGCUCCAAUGGAAGCAUAUCUUCUGGUGUCACGUCUGAUUACAACAGCAGCCCAGCCUUCUUGGGCCACCUCCAGUCCCUAGAGGUUUUGGAGGAUUCUCAAGUGCCAGAUUCCCAAGACACUUGGAUAGGGGACUGGCGGGGCCGGUCCACAGUGAGGAACAGUUACCUGUAUCUGACUGGGUCUUCCUGGAAGAACUUAGCUCACAGCUGCAGAGCCUCGAUGGGUAGUGGCUGCUGCUCUCCCUCCAGCCUGUCCAGCUUAGGAACCUGCUUCUCCUUCCCCUAUCAAGACUUGGCCAAACACAUUGUUAACACAUCAAUGGCUGAUGUAAUGGCUGCUUGUUCGGAUAAUCUCCACAACCUCUUCAUCCGCCAGGCAUCAGCUGGCUGGAACUAUCAGGGUGAGGAGCAAGAGGUACAGCUUUACUACAAGGAAUUCUCUUCUACUCGACAUGGAUUCUUGGGUGCAGGUGUGGUGUCCCAGCCACUCUCUCAAGUGUGGGCAGCUGUGAGUGAUCCCACUUUGUGGCCUCUGUAUCACAAGCCCAUCCAGACAUCAAGGCUACAUCAGCGAGUGACCAACAGUAUCAGCCUGGUGUACUUGGUGUGCGACACCACACUGUGUGCGCUGAAGCAGCUACGAGAUUUCUGCUGUGUCUGUGUGGAAGCCAAAGAGGGACACCUAUCAAUCAUGGCAACUCAGUCUGUGUAUGAUGCAUCCAUGCCAAGACCUAGCAGAAAAAUGGUCAGAGGAGAGAUCCUUCCCAGUGCUUGGGUCCUGCAGCCUGUUCUCUUGGAGGGGAAAGAAAUAACCAGAGUCAUCUUCCUUGUUCAGGUAGAGCUGGGUGCACCAGGCUUCCCUCCCCAUCUUCUCAACUCCUUUAUCAAACAGCAGCCGUUGGUUGUGGCCAAGCUGGCAUCUUUCCUUCGCCGUUAGUGUUGGGCCAUGGAGACAGCACUGCUGAGGUGUAGGCCCAGGACACCUGAGACUCCAGCUGCUUCUAGACCCAGAGGCAAGAGGAGCCAGCAAAACCAGUACUUAGUACCUGGUUACCUCUAAGAGUGAGCAACCUGAAGCUUCUGGCCGUAGCUGUCCAAAGAGUGAAAUCAGCUCACCUUCAGGAUGUCUCCCCUUUAUUCCUGCCUCGGGGGCUCAAUGGCACCGAGUGUCCAAAACUGGAAAAGGCACAGCCCACAGAGCUGGAGACUGCAGUGCUUUGGCAAGGUGCCUUCUUGGCAGGCAGGCACUGGCCAAGGGUGCUCUGGAUCUGCCUCCAAAAUUCAGUUCCAUUUUGUGAUGGCGUGGUAGAAAGGACCAAACCAUACAGUUUAAAGAAUCAUCUACACAAACCAAAUCCUGAUUCAGAAUUUUUUCUCCUUGAAUGUUUGCAAACAUUUUACUAUUCACAUUGCUCUUCCCCCCACUGUGUGUCACUGUAUAUCACUGGUACAGUCAGUCUACCUUUUAAGCUCAGUACAAUGGGAGACCAGUAACACGACAGCUACAUGCUGCUUGUGAAGAGGGAUUUCAAGCAGAUUGUCGAGAGGAUUAGCAUAGGUCUUGACCUUGUGCUAACUAACACACCUCACGUUCCCAAAUGCUGGGAUCAUGAACCGACCACAGCUAGCACCCACUUCUUUGUAUAUGGUAGGGUGUGGUAGCACAUAGCAACAGCACUUUGUGGUAGUAGGAGCAGGGGGACCAGAAGACCAUCCUCAGAUGGCCAGCCCGUGAUUCAUUAGACCCUAUCUUAAGCUUGGCACUUACAAAGACGGUCAAUAGUUAGAGAAGAGAAAAGGUUUUUUUUUUUUUUUUCCAUUUUCAGAUAAGAAAAUUCUUUUAUUUCUGUCACUCCAAAUCUUUGAUGGAAGAAGCUUCUCUUAUAGAGAUAGGACUGGUUAAAGGGUAAAUUUCUUUCUAUUCUUUUAGAAUAUUUAUAUAUUAUGAAUUGAAUAUUUGAAUUUAUCCAUGGUAAUUUUUGGCAUGGUAAUUUUUGGCAAUACUUGGAAAUGCAGUGUUAUACGCCUACCAAUUUCCCUCCUGCCCUCUUGCUUUUUUUGUAUGUAGCUUCAGUUUUCCAUAGCUUCAGUUUUCCAAGUCCCACACUAAGGACCGCAGCCCACCAUGCCCAGUUUCUUCUACCUCUUUUCAUGUAAGUGCCUUACUGAGACUGUUAACCUGCCCCCAACCUCCCCCCACCAAAAAAAAAAAGGUCAAAAUAUUACUUUUAAAAAUUAAAAAAAAAGGGGGGGGGGGUUGGGGAUUUAACUCAGAGGUAGAGCGCCUGCCUAGCAAGGGCAAGUUCCUGGGUUUGGUCCCCAGCUCAGUGGUUAAGAGCAAUGACUGCUCUUCCAGAGGUCCUGAGUUCAAUUCCCAGCAACCACAUGGUGGCUCACAACCAUCUGUAAUGGGAUCUGAUGCCCUCUUCUGGUGUGUCUGAAGACAGCUACAGUGUACUCCUAUACAUAAAAUAAAUGAGUUUUUUUUAAAUAAAAUAAAUUACAUAUAUAUAUAAAAAGCCAGAUAGUGGUGGGGCACACACCUUUGAUCCAAGCACCCAGGAGGAAGAGGCACGCAGAUCUCUGAGUUUGAGGCCAAUCUGGUCUACAGCAUGAGUUCCUAGAUAGCCAAACAGACAAAUAAAUAGAAUGUAUUGUUGAGGGUCAUGAUGGCAAUAUUUACUCACAGUUCAGGGCAGAGAUUUUCUGUUUACAUGCAUGUGCUAGUAUUAUGAUCUCAGCUACUGUAGGAAUCUAAAUAGGUGAACAGCAUAAGGUGAAAAGCCCCUCAUGAGACUUGAGUCAGCAAUGUGAAGCAUACGGUCAAUCUCUGUAACUCCGUCUUCCACAUCUGUACAUUUAACCAUGAUCAAAAGAUACUCAAGCAAAGUUUCUUGUCAUAAUUAGUUCCAUAUAGUUACACUAAUUAAAUCAUCUCUGGACAACAUAUUAAAGGACAUAAGAGGGGAAAGGAAAACCAAGGAUGUGUACAGAAGGCAGAUGCAGCUCUAACACUAUGCCAUUAUCUAUUAAGAUGGCUGACCACCAUGUAUUCCCAUAUUUGUGGACCUGUACUGAUCCUAUUGUAAAAGAAGAUGAAUCAGGUUCUGAAGAACAUAUGGAUCACCUGAGGCUGGGUCUGCUCCUGUCCAGGCAUGGAGAGCUCAGUAUUUUUACCUGAGGCCACUGGUCCACAGAACAACAGUACAAAUACUACUGACUAUACCCCAGAAGACUGCUUUUGGUAAGAAAGAAGUUCUGAGGUAAUUCUGCCAUUCCAGUUAAUACAGAUAUCACCAAAAAAAGAGUUCUUGGUGCAGAAAGGAGAAUAAAUAGUUUUCUACUUGAUUACCUGCCUGUCUUUACAGUCUGAGCAAGCUGUUGUAAGUGCACCUUAAGACAGGCUUGCUUCAUGGCUGAGUCCUUCAGUUUUCUGGGCCUCAGGCUUUCCUAAACAAGAUAACAAUUGGCCAUUAGCCUGCUGCUCACCUUUCCCAGGACUCAGCAUUCUGAAGCAGGACUGUGGUUAAACUGCAUGAUAAUCCUGAUUUCUAGGCAAGAACAAGAAAAACCAUGAUCAUCCACUGGGCUUGUAGCUCAGUGGAGUACUUGCCUCACAUGUGAGGCGUGAGGUUUGGUAGCCAGCAUUGACAGAACUGAGUAGGUUGUCGUUAACGAUGAGUCAAGGCCCCUGGGCCCAAUCCUAGAUUUGGAAAAGGACUUAGGGGAAGGAAGAAGAGGCAUACACUAGAAUUAAAUAGCACUGGAGUGUAAGUUUAGAGAAACUUAACUUUCCUCAGGUCAAAAACCAUUUUGCCAGCUGAAAAGAUUUUGCAGUUAACUUCAGGAGUCAUUACUGAGCACAUUCUGAUCCUUCCACUAAAGCCUGAGGCUUACUACCAAAACAAACAAACAGAAAAAUAGUUUUACAGGGAUAUAUCACAUUUUCAAAAUACUGUCAUCUUUGGGCACAUGCCUUCAAUCCCAGAACUUGGAAGGUAGAGGCAGGCAGAGCUCUAUGAGUUUAAGGCAAUCCUGGUAUAUAGAGUGAGUUCCAGGACAGCCAGGGUUACAAAGAGAAACCCUGUGUUGAUAAACAAAACAAAACCCCCUUAAAAAUCAGCUGGUUACAGGGGCUGUCAAAAUAGCUGAAGGCUAAGCCCAGUGACCUGAAUUUGAGCCCUGGAUCCACAUGGUAAAAUGAGAACUGACUCCAGCAAGUUGUCCUUCAACUUCCAGAAGUGCGCCAUAGCACUUGAGUGCAGACACUCUGAGUAUAAUAAAAACGUCACCCCAUUUAUAGAAAUGAGGUCUUGCUAACUAUAACCCAGAAGACUGCUUUUGGUCAGAAGUUUUGAGUUAAAUCAGACAUCCCAGUGCCUACAGUACAAAUAUCACCAAAGCUACCUGCCAUGUGGGUCGGCAUAGACAGCAGGGAGCACAUGGAGAGUAGCAGAUUGUGUCUCUCAGACUGACAGAAUGCAGACACCGUGAAGAAGCACACACUGCAAUGCACAAAGCCCACUUCAGAGGGGAGAAUAGCCAUCAAGACCUUGUUAGAAAUUUUAUUUAAAAAAAAAAAAAAAAAAAAAAAACAAACCCAAGCCCCUUAAAUUUUCUAUACCAGGCUUAGUCUGACUAACUCCCUGCAAAGAGGCGAAGGUCCAUAUGAGACCAAGUUCCACUUAGGUGAUUCCUACCUUAUUGGCUGCCAAUAUUUGGGGGUAGGGGUGACAGUCCAGCUUCUGGACUCAAGAAAAUGUUUUGUCAAUGUUCUCAUAAGCAGAAGUUCUUUGCCUAUUAAGAUUUCUCAGAACCACAAAGUUUCAAGAGAUGCUGGGAUAGCAGCAACUUGAGGCUCGAAAUAACAUUGAUCAGCACACGCAUUUCUUUUAGCAUCUGGAUUAGAAAUGCUAGCCCUUUUGCUCCAAGGUUAGAGUCUCUGGGCUUUUCCACUGUGACUCUGAAUCAGGUUCUCCUUCCUCUAGAUCUCAGGUGUUGAGGCCUGCAUCUGGAUGCUUGAAGCAACACACUUCCUUCACUUAGGAGCAGAGCAGCAAGCCCGAUUACACACCUGGACACUCUUGCCCCAGCAGGGCGUGCAGUGGGUUCUUGAGCCUCCUCCUGAGGCUCAGGAGGCAGGUUCUGGUGACUUGCCCAAGAGGGCUGCUUCCCAGCCCUAGCUUUGGGCUAGCACUGUCCCUCGAUUUGGUUGCAUAAGUUCACAAGCUCUCAGCUGGGGUUCUAGCAGAUGGGGCUCAGCUAGGAACAAGCGAAAUAGUGUUGACAAUUCUUCUGAGAAGUCCUAAAGUAAGUAGAAAGGUUAAGAAAAGUAAUUCUGGAUGUUCUGUCCUUUCUAAGGUCAGUCCCACCCGAAUAAUCACUCACAGCCAGUGAAACACUGAUAACCCAGCUAUUUCAUCUAAUGUCUUCUCUGCAGAAAUGGAUAUAAACCUCCAUGGCUGGUAAACUGAGGCAUUAAGUUCCAGCAGGGAAAGUGGACUCUAUUAAGAAGCAGAGGCUUUAACAUUUUCAAGCACAAAGUAUUAAUCUUAUUUUAACAGCACUAUUUUGCUCUAAAUCACAAGAGCAUUUUAAAUAUAAGCCAACAUUUACUUGAGUUUCAAAUCCCCAAUAUUCACUGUGCCAUGCCUAUUUCUAAUUGUCCUCCUUUCCCUCUGUUCUUCUGAGAGUCUUACAAAGUAGUCACUUAGAUCAAACCCAAUACAUGGUCUCGUGGUAGUCCUGGAAACACUUUGGCAAAAAGGCACAUAGCUGUAGCUAUGGUGGGCUCACAGUUAGAAUCUCAUUCCCAGCAAGUAGAAAGAAUGCAAGUUUGUGGUUUGUGGGCUACAAAAGCAAUCUUUAGGACAAAUGAGACAUAUCUUCAAGACAAAGGGAUUAACAUUAAGAUUCCUUACCCCUGGCCACUGGGCUUCAUUAAGGCUGACUAAGCAGGCUUCUAUUUCCAAAUGCCCCAUGAGAUCCUUUUCUACCAGCUCCCGGAGUAAGAACAGUAGCAGGUCCCACUGCAAAACACCACAGAGAAAGUCAAAAGUUGUCAGGAUCAUAUAGUAGUCCUAACAGUAGAGACUGAGGACUGUACAGUAGUCCCAAGAGUAGACAUCUCGAAGGACAGAGCUGGAGAUAACAGAGUUGGAGAUAAUGGCUCAACAUGCUGUUAAAAGCAAUUCAACACUCAGGAGGCAGAGGCAGAGGUGCAGGGGUAGAGGAUCUCAGGUCAGCCAGGUCUACAGAGUAAGUUCCAGCUAUAUAGAGAGAGUUCUGGCUACACAGAGAAAUAAUGUUUUGGGAUGGAGAGAUGGCUCAGAGGUUAAAAAUACUGUCUGCUCUUCCAGAGGUUUUGAGUUCAAUUCCCAGCAACACAUGGUGGCUCACAACCACCUAUAAUCAGAUCUGGCGCCCUCUUCUGGCAUGCAGGCAAGAAAGCUGUAUGAUGUAUACAUGAUAAAUAAAUGUUAAAAAAAAAAAAAAAGAAACAAUGUCUUGAACUCCCCCCUAAUAAUAAAAAAAUAAAAUAAAUGAUUAUAAACUAUUUACAAAUAAACACACACACACAAAAGAAAAGAAAAGAAAAGAAAGCUGCCCCGAGGAGGAAAUUGAGACAAAGGGAAUCUGCUUUUGCAUGGAUGUGGAAGAAAACAAUAAAAACAGCAGUUAUACAAUUUGGGGUGGGCCACUGGAUAAUGUUAAGAACAUGACUUGCAGGGAUGAAGGGAUUGAUUGAUCAGCAGAGUUCCUGAUGUGCAAACAUGCCUGUGUCAUGGGAGUCCAGUAGCAAGGGCCAGCUCUCCCAUGUUCAUACUUACAAGGCUGGCUCGCCCACAACUCCUUACCCCGGAAAGUGUGUAAGACUGCUUUCUGGAGUACUGCAGUGGUUAGGGGCAGGGCCAGCUCUUCCUUGGAUCCAAGUUGUAUGAGUGUCUACCUGUAACCCUACUGCUAGAUAGGAAAAUCCUGGAAGCCAGCUAGUUUAGCCAAUCAGUGAGUUUUAGGUUCAGUAAGAACAGUGCUCACUAGUAAGUACACAUACUACCCCCUAAUAUGACUACAGGAGCUGGGCAUGAUGGCUCAAAUUUGUAAUCUGCACUUGAGAGGCAGAGGCAGGAAGAGUGCUGUGAAUUUAAGGCCAACAUGGACUACAGAGUGAGAUCCUAGCUGAAAAUCCACAUGCAUGGGCCUAAGUGGUGGCUCAAAGCACUUGCUGCUCAGCAAUUCACUUCUCAGUAUUGACAAGGUAGCUCACAGCCACCCUAGUUCUAGUGGAUCUAACAGAUAUAUUAAUGGUGCACACAUGCGGACAAAACAUUUAUAUACAUAAAUCUAACUACCUCCUAACAAAAAUUACUUACCUCUCUUGGCCGAGUAUCAGCCAGAAGCCCUACAUUUCUUGGGCUGAGUAGAAGCUGCAAUGGAACUGGCCCCUGGAAGUCAUCCUUCCACAAGGAAAGCAGCAUAUGCAGAAGCCUUCGAGCGUGUCCUCGAUCCAGCCUGUGCUGUGUUGGGGGCCCUAAGAUGGGGAUCUGGUCUGCAACUAUAGGGAAAAAAGAAAAGGUAGAAGAGCAUGUCCUAUGCUUCUAAACUUGCUUGUAUCCAACCUUGGGGUUUGGAGAAUGUGGCACGAGGGACUUGGUAGAAAAGAGCCAUACCUAGAAGGGACGCCAACUCUACAGAGCACUUGGCCAGAUGCUGCUCAGCAGUCGGGCACAGAAACUGUGGGGUGGAAAAGGAGAAAUAAGCAUCAUUUUUACUGCUCUGAGGAUUGGUCCUGAGCCAGUGUGGGUCAUGCCACAUCUCACCUGGCGGCAUUUCAGUGACUGGCCCAGCUGGUUUAGGAGCUGUUCCAGAUGCUCUGGGGAAACUCCCUCCUCAGGGUCCCGAGGUCCGGCAGCCAGGGAGAGCACAUCCUGUAGAGAGCAGUGAUGAAACUUUAUGCCAGAAUGCCAGAAACUUGGUUUGGGAUGGGAACCAGCCAGUGGAGAGAGGCAGAAGGAAAACAGAGCCCAAGGGAGUGAAGCAACUGGGUCAAGGUGUUCUUAUGGCUGAGGCUCAGGCAGUAACAGCACAGCUAGAGAAGCAAUCAUAUGGGAAAUCCAGAGGGAAGUGGAUGGAGUGCUAAGCCUGUAGACUGUGUGCUGCCAGAGAGCGCAAAAGGUGUCACUCACUUUGAGACAAAACAACCAAUUCCCAGAGGGCAUCUUAAAAUCCUUAGGGAAAAUGUCCUAUCUAGAGUCUGAAUACUUCUCUCUCAAUGCUCCUCUGAGAUCUCAAAAUAGAAUCCUCUGCAUACUGAGAAGCUAGCUUGAUACCUUUCUCUCUCCUUCCUAAAGUCCCCAUCUGUAGACAUUUCUUUCUAGUCUCUCUCUAUUUCUUUAUUAUACUACCUUUAUACUUUCUACUUCUUUAUUUAUACUACUUUUGUUUGGAGCAGGGCCAGAUAGUAUUUUAGCUCUUGGGAGUCACAAGGGCUAAAUACUGUUUCAACUAUUCAUCUCUGCUUUGGUAGCACAGAACCAGCCACAGACGAUUUAUAAACAAAUGGAUUAGUAAACUUUUAUGUAUAUAAACAAACAGCAGUCUCAUUUAGGGUCAUUUAGGCUAUACAAUUAGUCUCUUUCUCUAGACACCAUGUGCUAUGAUAUAGAGUUUACACUAUCUACUUUUAUAAGUUAUCUUAAGAAAGUCUUACUUAAGUUGCCCAGACUGGCUUGUGAUCCUCCUGCCUCAGCCUCCAGAAUAACUGGGAGUCCAGGCCUGCACUCAAUUGAGGCCCAGCUUUUAUUUAUUUCUUAAUCACAUGAGAACUUCUGGUCAGUGCUUAGUGACUAGCAUUAUCUCCCACCAUGUCCAGACACUGACUGCCCCUCAAAGACUUCCCCACUCUGCAGCCCUUUACCGCCAUGUGUGUAGGAUGCAUUUAGUCAAACACUUCAGCUCUGGCCCGUUGUGGUGCUAUAUGCCUUUAGUCCUAGUUCUUGGGAGCCAAAGGCAGGUGGAUGUCUGUGAGUCUGAGGUCAGCUUGGGAUCCAUAGUGAGUUCUAGGCCAACCAGACCUACAUAAUGGGACCCUGUCUCAAACAAGCAAGCAAACAACCCACCCAACCCUUUAGAUAUAAUUUUUUGGAUGAUUCUAGAACAAAGGCCUUAGGAAAACUAAUUCAGCUCUGUUCUAUGUGAUCCCAUUCAGUAAGGAAAGAAACAAACCAGCCAGACAAAACACAAAGCUUCUAUACAAAUCCUGAAGCCAAUGUGAAAAGAAGCAAGCAGCAGGGAGAGGGAAUGGGAAAGCCAAGGGAGUAGGGUAGCUGUGUACUUUUAUCUCGGAGAUGAGGUGGGAGGGGAGGGGAGCAUGGUGCUCACAGGCUCGGGAGCAGCCCCUCCGCUCCACCCGGGCAGUUGGCUCAGGACCCUGGGCUCGUAGCAUGCGACUCACGGCUGCUUUCACCUCCCUUCUAAUCAGCGCUGCCAGGCAGAGGGAAAACAAGAAUGGAGUUACUGGAAUGUUUCCCUGCAUGGGCUUGCCAUGACAACCCACACCUUUCACUGGUUUUAAAUGGCUCAUCUAGUCUCCCACAAACUGUUCAAUACCCUGCCUGUCCAUCUUUAAAAACUUGGUUCAGUCACUCCUUUUCUAGAUAGACCUCACCUGUAAUGUUGGCAGACAACCAAGAGCAGGCUUUCUCUGUUGCAAGCCCCACAGCAAUGUUCUCUGCACUGCUUAGAACCUGUGGCACAGAAGGACUGCUGAGUCAGGGACUUGGGAAGGCAGGUAGUACAACAUUGGAUUCUACAGUUCAGGGCCCACCCUACAACAGCCUCACACAGGUACAUGUGUACACAUAUGUGUACAUGCAUGCCUGCCUACUGGCCUGCUAGCUGCAGGCUUGCUUCCUACGUACAGCAGCUGGGGUCUCCUCUGGUAACAAUGCUCGCAGGGCAGUGGGGCUCUUCUUUUGGCAGAACCUACAAAAAGACAGAAGGGGGGGUCAAUGUCUGGAUAUUGUAGGUGAAUUCCCAAGUGCAGCAGGCCUAUGACCUGGAAACUCUAACUCAGAAAGAAGUGCUGCCCAUUCUCCUACCCCACCACUGAUGCUGGAGGAAGGAGAGACCCGCCCAUUAGUCCUACAUCACACACAUCCAACUCAAUAUCUGGACUCCAUGCCCAAAGACAUAAUCCUACAGAAAAGGAACAGAGCACAAAAGGGGAGAAAGAAACAGAAAUGGAGCAAAUGGGAUGUGAAAGAGGCAAAAAAAAAAAAAAGAGCAGGAAAAAAAAUCAAAAGGAAGCUGUGUGUGCUGGCUCAUGCCUGUGAUCUCAGCACUUGGAAGUUUGAGGUCCGACUACAGAGUGGGACCCAGUCUUAACAAAAAAUGUGCAGAACCAGGAGGAGACUUCAGGAAAUGAGAAGGCUCAGAUGGGUUGACAGUUCUUACUCUCGCCCCUGGGUCAAUGCUUGGGCCCCAUGGGGGCACAGCUGAGAACACAAGAAUUCCAACAGCUGUGCUGGAUCUCCCCCUUCUUGUCCCCGUGUCACCAGCUGCUCCUGAAGAAGUGACUCUGCUUGAUGCACCAAGUCUGCUACCAGUGUCGCCCUGUAGCAGGGAGAGCAAGGUUGGGGCAGUUAGGAAAGUUAAGGAGAAAGAGCUGCAAACGGAAGACAUUUGGUCAGAAUGUCCUUCAAAGGAUAAAAGAAAUUUCAGCCUCCCUCUCCCCCCCCAGGUUGACUGCUCAGUUGGGAAACAGGUUAAAAGUUUUUUUUUUUUUUUUUUGAGCUGAGGACCGAACCCAGGGCCUUGCGCUUGCUGGGCAAUCGCUUUACUACUGAGCUAAAUCCCCAACCCCCAGGUUAAAAGUUUAAAGGUAAAAAAUGAAAGGGGCUGAGAGCAGGAUUCUCACUCCACUCUUACUUGAUGUGUUUGACACAGUUUGAUCCAAUUCUUUCUGCCACAAAUUCUACAGUCCUGCGCAGGGAGGGUGGCUGGUUGUGGAAAAAGGCCUCAGCGAGUUGAGCCUGGCAGAAGUUGGAGGCAGGUAUAGUAGUACCAUGAGGGCUUCCUUCUGCCUCCCUCACCAACUGCCUCCCUGUUUCCCUGUCCUUUGCCCUUACCUGCAACCCCUGGCUGGUCUUGAGAGGCAGGGUUCCCAGGCUAGUGGUUGUAGUGGGAGUGAUUUUCCUCACAAAGCCUCCACUCCGCCCACUGCUUCCAGAAACCCAGGAAGCAAGCAGUUUCCGGAGCUCUCCUGUAGAGGAGUUGAAGUUCUUACUUCCAAAAUUAUUUCCCUGUCCUCCCUCACACAUCAUGACCUUUGUGGAGCAAAGAAGAUGAACUACCCAGAGAGCCUAAAGACAGAACAGUCUGCUGAGGGGUCAGGUCCUUUUGGGUAUCCAUGACAGGCCAGGUCAUGGACCAUAAGGGGAGACAGAGAUGCUUACCAAUGUAAGGGCAACAGGUAUAUAACAGCUGCUGGUCCACAACAGGUACACUGUCCUGGGGGAGAAUAGGCCAAGAUUGGAAGGGGAAGGCAGGUAGUCUCCCUUCCCUCCAAAUGUGCAGAGAUAGAAGUCUUUUCUAGCUUGUCUCCUGCCAGCUCUUUAUCUAUUCAGCUCAUUUAUCUGGUUUGACACUCACCAAUCCAUGCUCUGAAGUAGUUGUGUCCACCUCAAAGGCAUCUACCUGACCAUCUUCUAGAAAGAAUAAGUCCUCAGGAACUGUAGGUAUCUGGUAAGAGAGGAAGGUAGUCAGAACACUAUUGGCAUGCUAAGAUUUGCCAUAGUUUCUAAAUCUAUUGGGGCCCUGGGUCAAGCAAGUUGUCUUCUGAAGCCAUAGCAAUACCCAUCCCUCCUCUGUCCCAAAUCUCCCUCAGACUCUAAAACUCUGUGGUCUGCCAUGGCAGCCAUCUACUACCCUAUCUAGGCCAUCGAUCUGCUACCUGGAAAAGCCAUCCCAGGACAGCAAGCAGCAGCAGCUUAUUCAGGAAGCACAUCUCUCCUUCAUUCUCCUUUGAUAAGACCAAACUCCUAAAAGGUAAAUGGAGGAUGUGAAUAGACUUGUGCCAAGGACAGAAGGCGGUAAACAAAAGCUAUCGCUAGGAAGGGAGUUCUCAAAAGCAGACCUCAGUCACACUACUGUUGGGAAGACCAACAGGAUCUCAGUGAGACUUGUACCUUACAUCCUUCUUGGCUAGGCCAUAUGAUAAAGGAGGAGGACCAUGGGAAUGGAAGACAAUUAUCACAGUUCUGCCUCUCUUGAGGUGAUCAUAGCUGUGGAACCACAUAGAAGCAUAGACUUCUAGGCCCACUUUAUAAAUAGCAAGGGUAUGCAAAUCAGUCAUGUUCUACUCACCGAUGUAAGUGCAGCAGGAGAGUAAAGACACUCCGGUAAUAGUCCAGCAAGGGGACAAUGUGGUCAGCAAAAGAGAGGAAUUCCACCAGCCAGGGCACAGUGAGCACUGCCCGACGGGCCCACAACCCCUGCUGCAACAGAGCCCGUAUAUCCAGAACAGGAGGGACCUGGGAAAGUCAGGAUUCUGUCAAUAAGCAGGCCCUUAAAAGGGGCUGGCUGACACCCUCUAAACUGCCAGGGGACUAGAAUAGUCAAGGAAACCAUUCAGCCUCCACAUUUUUCUGGUCUCCCCAGCACUUCCUUACCUAGAUCUUCCCAUGCUCACCUGGCUCCUGAGGGCCAGAAUAGAGUCCUGAAGCUCACGGGUUGGGGGCGGUUCAUGUCCCCGGUAUGGCAGGAAAGCCACAAAGCCCAGAAAUUUAGCCAAAAGUCUAAGACUAAGAAGCACUACAGCAAAUUGCCUCCGUUCACCCUGCAUGAGGAAUCAAGUGACACAGUACCCUUUGCAUGAGUCUUCUGGAACAAUUUAAAAUCUGUUAAAGUUUUCCCUCAACACCCAUCCUUUCCCCCCUAGAUCAGACCCUAUUAUCCCCCUCGUUCUGUCUUCUAACCUGCCAGUCCACGUCAGAUUCCCCAUCUUCAUCACCAGGCUCGUGCUGAGGCAGGCGAAGGCCAUUGAGCUCCCGAAUCUUUAAACUUAAACUAUCCAUGAGAUGCUGAUUAAAAUGAAAGCUUGAAUGGAAAAAGAGCAAAAGACAAAACAAAAAAGGACUGAAAUAGGUAAAAAAAAAAAAAAAAAAAAAAAAAAUCCAGCAUUUCGAGGAGAUGCCCAGACAAAAAGACUCCUAAGAAAGAUGAAGCUAAAGGACAAUGAAAUUACCUAUGCAGACAAAAGAAUGAGACGAAAGAGGAAAUAAAAGUGGGAGGGGCCAGAAAUCCCUUCCAGACAUGUCCAACGUGAGGCCCAGGCAAAAGACAAUGGUUUACCCUUUGGGGAAACCAAAUCUUUCUUGGACUCUGUUUCUCUCCCUGAGAAACACAGGAGACCCUUACCUGCUGGCACUCAUGAUGAAGUCCCUGAAGAAGCCUUGACAGCCUGGGAAGGUGGGGGGUGGGCAGGGUCCUCCACUGCUCUGAGGGGCUAUAAGCCGUUCUUGGAGCUGCCGCAACCGUCCGAGCUUGUCAGCUCCUAGCAUAUUCAAUACAUCUGGAGCUUCCCCCAAAACAGAUCCCCCAGCACCGCCAGGGCUCUGACACAUCUGAGACGCCCGUGUCCGAAGGGAAGAAAGAUAUGAAAACCUGUAAGAGGUUUUGACUAACAGGAUACUGGGAAAGUAGGCUUGGGUUAUAGCUUAGUGGAGAACACUUGCCCAGCAUGAGCAAGACCCUGGGUCUGAAAGAAAGUAAUGAACAGUACAGAGGCUUUAUCUUCUGAUUUGAAAGGUGAGGAGAUGAAAACCGCAAGGCCCGGCAUGCAUUGUUGGCCUCAGGUCACUAAAACAAGGGUUUGAAGAUACCAUGACUACUAAGCUGUCUUUGUACCCUUGCACAAGUCAAGAAAGGGAUGGUGGUGAGAGGCUAAAUAAGGGCAUGGAGUCCAAGGCAUGUCAGAGAAGUUAGAGAACACUGUCCAUCAAGUUUGAACUAUCUCCCAAAGAGAAGGUAUUCUUUUUAAAUAUGUAGCCAGACAGAACCUAUUAGGUUGUCUACCUGACCCAGAGUAUCAACCUUUAUUUAGCUGCCCCCAUCUUUUGGCUCCCACUGUAGUUAUUACCUGGAGAAGCUGCUUUUGGAAAAGCCGGACAAAGUGGCUGUGGCUGCAGGCUGCAGAAAGUUGACCCAUCAUGGCUCUGAGGAGAAAGAGUAGACACAGUGUGGGAAGUAGACAGGUGAUAUAGUCUGGCUGUUUACCAAAGACAUGAACAAACUCCCUUGCCAGGAAGCCCACACAGGAGAAGGUAAGAAACGUUUCCUUCACUACCAAGGUAACUCCAGGCUGGAUAGACUUAUUAAUCUACUAAGAAAUGCCCUCUCAGAUCUUCAGACAUGCUCAGUGUCGGGGAGAUAAGGACAGGAUACUUGUUUGACAGCCUGUGCAGUUUGAUCUGAGCUUUGUCCUUUCCUAAGCUUUUGCCAUUAUAGAACAAGCGUGGUGCAUUCCUGGGAUUCAGAAACUAGAAAGAUAAAUCCCUUUUGAUCUAGGUAGACUGAGGAGAGAUGGGUGAAAGGAGGGAAACCCUUCCCAACAAACACCCUAAAUAUUCCUGUGUUGCUGCUGUCAGAGCAAGGACUGAACUGAGCAGGGGCAGAACACCAACCUGAUCCUGCUACCCAGCCCCUUCUCAAAAUCCCAGCUGGGUUCCUCGUGGUGGUCUUCCCAUUCUCGAAGUACCUCAUAGAACACAUCUCUGAAAGAUAUGGAAGCUUGAUCAGUUGACUCCCAGUUGCCUACAACCACUUCCCAUAGCACUUUCCCUUGCUUGGAAGGUUUAAGAUAAGUCUGCCCACAGUGCCAGUCUUUAACCCCCAAAGCUCUCUACAAGAUGGUAAUGUUACAGACCCAGCAGCAGCACAUCACAGGCAUCUGUGGACAGGGAAAGCUGACCCUAAGCUUUCAGGGAUUCAGGUCUGUGGACAUGAAACAGAAUGAAGCCAACAGGCUUUAUGAUGACUGCCAGCCAAGGAUCUGAACAGCAGUACCCACCACUUGCAGUGCCUAACUCCUAAUUCUAGGAAAGUAAAUAAUUGUUUAUUCCCUUUUCUUUUCACCUCUGCUUUUUAAAAGUAUGGAAGGCUCGAUCACUGGAGAAGUUGGCACGAUUGUCAGUUUCUGGCUGAAAGGAGACAGCUUGAGCAGAGGGUGGUAUCACAAGGGAGACCUAAAACAUGGCAACAUUAGAAAACAAGACCUGUUGGAUCACGUUUAGAAAACUUUACUCCUUAUUGUCGCCCAGAGUUAGCCCACUUGCCAGCACCAGGAAAAUUGUCUUAAUUUGCAGAACAUCUAGGCUACUAGGUACCUAAGCAAGGGUAACUACCUUGGCAACACUGCCUUCAUAAGCAGCUCGAAGGCGGCCUUGCAGAGCUGGUGAGAAGCACAGCAGCCGCUCAUUCUCGGCCAGCAGCUUUAAGGUCCCUUUAUCCAGGUAGGAGAGAACCCUGCAGGGACAGGUGUGCACAUGACUGAGAUGAGCACGCUGGCUGCAGACACAAAAUCCAUCUGAAGCAUAAGGCACUGUGUAAGCCUAGAUACGUAUGGCAAGGUCAGGGGCUAAGAAUCAAGAUGAUAAAAGUAAAGGGUGAAGACAUGAGACUUCAUGGAGCUGAGAGCAAGAAAGCAGGCUAGGAACAUCAGCUAUGAACUUUAUAAAGGUAAGCUGUCGGGUUGGGGAUUUAGCUCAGUGGUACAGUGCUUGCCUAGGAAGCGCAAGGCCCUGGGUUCGGUCCCCAGCUCCGAAAAAAAGAAAAGAAAAAAAAAAUAAAGGUAAGCUGUCACGUAUUGUUGUUAUUGUAGUACACGGGGCUCUCUAUAUGGCCAGCAAGCACUCCAGUGGUCUAUAUACUUAGGCCUUUUUGUAUUUAUUAUUUGGGAAUACCAUUCAAUAUGUUUCAAAGGCUGGCUUUGAAUUUUCUGCAGCCCGGGCAGGUCUUUAAACUUGCAAUCCUUGCUUAGCACCAGACCCAGUCAUUUAAUUUUUUUAAAGGAUAAACUCAUAGCCUUGAUACAAAAUUAAAUGUUUCAGAUGGGCCAGGAAUGUUAGCGCAUGCUUUUAUUUCCAGAACUUUGGAUAGACAGGCUGGCUAAUCUAUGCAGGUUUGAGCCCAUCUUGUUCUACAUAGGGAGUUCAAGGCCAGCAAGGGCUACAUAGUAUCACCCUGACUAAAAAAAAAAACAACAACAAUCUCCUUCCCCUCAACAAAAGGUGCCAGGUGGAAAGGUCUAGGGCAACUGUAUCUAUUAAGCAAAGUCAUGCAUCCUACAUGGCUAGAAACAGACAGAUAAGACCCAAAUGCCUCAGCUAGAAAAACUCACUGAAAUUGAUGCUCCAAAACCUGCACUGCAAAGAAGACACAAUCAUGGAUGCUCCGAAACAGGGGAGUUUCCAGGGAAUCUAGGCCAAUAACAAACGGUUAGUUAAGAACUAACCCACCUGCAAACAUCAUUUCUUGAAAUUAGACUUGCUUACUGACCUAGGGCACCCUGACUCGAUUCAAGGUCACUGUCCUUGGUGGCCGCCAUUCUCCGGGCAGUAAGGAGCUGAAGGACGAAGAAAAGCUCCAGGAAAAGGUUUGGUACUAGGUUCUCUGGAUAUAACGAGAAAUGCCAUACCAUUGCGCACUACUGACAACCAGGCCAAGGCUCUGUAUGCUUCAUCCCCUCUUACUCUGUAGUUUGCAUGCAUAUCCACCGCUGUCCCUUUGAGCUCACUCACCAGCAAUACAUGAGGAGUAGAUGAGGGCUACCAGCUCGAGGCGCUGUCGAGAAGACACUCUGGCUGGGUCAGCAGGCUCUGCUGUGAGGUUUCCUGUUCUGUUGGGAACGGGAGACCCCGAGUCUGGGGCAGGGCAGGCCGGGGUAGGUGACUGCUGGAGCUGCUUGGAUCUAUGUGAACAAGAGAGAUGUCAUGAUUACUCAGCCUGGCUUUCCAGUGACAUUCACUUUCAGGUUCUGCCAGAGAAGACAUCAAUAGCCCAGAAAGCAAACCCAGAAUCCGGAAGGGAGAAAUCAAGUUCGGGAAAAAUCCCCGCAAGUCCCGCACAAGGAGGAAGCUGAUAUCCCAGGUGGCGGCAAAGCCAUACCGCGCCUUCCUGAGCAUCUCCCGCUCCUCUUGCAGACUUCUGCACCCUGGGGGAAGGCCAAGGCCCCAAGGGCUAGUGUCCAGGGCUGAGGGUUGGGAACUGGGGACACAGCUGAUUGGGGGUGAGGUGAAGCAGGUCUUGGGCUUGGACAGUGACCGCUCUUCGCUCACCGGAGUUGGGUUGAUCCUUCGAGAAGGCUUCGUCCUGCUGAGAGUAGUCAGUUUUUUUUUUUUUUUCAAAUUUCUAUCUUCAAGUAUCAUCCAUAACAGUUGGGGUCCCUUAAAACCCUCCCCCCUUUGUGGUUUCUUCGCCCUCAACCUUCUAACCAUCGCGCAUUCUACUGUGGGGCACCCAGCUCUGCUUUAGCGAUUAUCUUGCAAUAAGGACCGAUCCUCACCCUGCAGAGCCGGGCGGAACGGUGCCUACAGGAGGGAACUCCUCCAAGUUGCUGAGGUUUGGCGGAUCUGAGAGCGACAGUCUGGGGCUGCCAGGGCUGCCUGAGCCCUUAGGCUUCCGGCCUCCGGCCCAAGGCGGGCUCUCGCUGCUGGCCCCCUCCUCGGGGCCCCCGGAUCCCCGACCACCUCGUUCGCGGGACGGUCCCGGACCCCGCCUGCGGCCCGCACGGCGGGCCAGAGGUGCCUCGGCGGAGGUGCUGAGGGGCUCGGUUGCAGGGAAAAGCUGGCUGCGCGCCCCACGGCCACCCCGUGGCGGGGCCCCCUGCCUCGCUGGCAAGGCGGCCGAGGCGCCUGGGGUCUUGGCGGGGGUGGAGGGGCCCUGUGGGAGGACCCGGCUGCUCUGCUCCCUCAGGAAGUUCAGCAGGAACGGCACGAAUUCCUUCCGCAGAGGCCGAAGUGCGCUCAGAGCAGCCACUUCGGAGCUAUCCUGAGGAAGAAGCAGAGGUCGCGGGGCGAGAGGGUCAGCUGACAGCGCGGGCCUCCAGCGGCUCAGGCCGCAGGGUGGGCGGCCCGGCAGCGGCUGGCAGAGAAGCGCCCUUGGCGCGGGCCGACAGCCAGGGCAGGCUGGGAGAAGGGACUGAAGCAGCAUCCCCCGCGGGAAGCACAUUCCAGGCAGGUUUGAGGGCGUGUCCGCACUGUUACCUCCGAACUCGGGGUGCUGCGCGCGAUCCACCGCACGGCGGCUGCGACCGGCACCUCUUCGCGCAGCAGCGACUCUAAAACGGCCGCCAUCCCUGUCCAGGCGCUCUGAGGCUACUGCGCAGGCGCACACGCGCCACAGGCAGCCGGGAGGGGCGGAGCCAGCGGCCGGGGCGACCGUUGGACGACGGGGCGGGUCCUUGUGGGGUGGGGCUCAGGCGGUCCGGGAAGAUCUGUCCAACCAGCUAGGCCUGCAGGGCGCCGAGGCGCCUUUCCCUGACUGCUUGGCCGCUGGAGCAAUGUGAUGAGAUGGAACUGCGGCGAGCUCUGUGGAGACCCGGCUCCGAAAGAGAGGCCAGACAGGAAAAGUAACCAACUCUAAAAGACACCAGCCUAUCAGACCAGACAUCUGCCAUAAACACAGCCUCAGACCACCGACUGUAGAGCUUUUUGAGUCACUCCCUCCUCAACCAAAAUAAAAUGUCAACGGCAGCUAUAAACAAGAGCUCAGUGAGUUUCUCCCCCUUGGACUGUGCUGGACCGAAGCUUCCUAUGCAAAGGCAUCGACUCUUGAUGUGCUUCCUUCCUGCCCUAAUUAUACUUACGUCGUCUUAUAAAUGUGGAAAUCUGGCUAAGAAGCCCAAGCAUUAAACAACACAAGAACCAGGUAAUAAAAACAUUGAAAGAAAA
Rattus norvegicus (Norway rat) is the source of this 31904-nucleotide non-coding RNA. Lineage: Eukaryota; Metazoa; Chordata; Mammalia; Rodentia; Muridae. The record is from RefSeq and is a predicted model, not a curated record.